This is a long non-coding RNA of Stegodyphus dumicola, 861 nucleotides long. RefSeq lists it as uncharacterized. The record is from RefSeq and is a predicted model, not a curated record. Lineage: Eukaryota; Metazoa; Arthropoda; Arachnida; Araneae; Eresidae.
GAUAGCAGAUAUUCCGCUAAAAUUAAUUGGUUUUACGAAUUUAGAAAUUUAUAGAUAUUGUGAGGACUUAAAAAAUACGCUUGGAAAUGAGUUCUCUUUCUUUUUUCCAAAAAGAAGGGCGAUGGAAAAACAUGUGAACAAUAUUGAUUUCAAAGUAAUACCGGAUAGCACGGUAUUUAUAACAAGCUGUGUUAAGGCCGAAAUGAAGAAAUCAAUUAAUUAUGAAACAUCUGUGCAAAUUUCUGCAGGAAACGAGCUGCCCUGAAGACUUUCUACAACAUUUCCUCCUGCAAAGCCAAGAACAGAUCCUUUUUGUAUUCGAAUGAUAUCUGCUUUAAAAGCUCCGGAUACAGGGUUGUAUUAAUACUCCCUCAUUUGAGGCCUCAGUAUUACUUCUCUAGCGACAGUGUCAAGGAGUCAGCAAAUGUGAUGGGAAUGGUGGCCAUGGCCAUUGCAUUACUUCCACCUUCUAUCAACGAAGUAAGAUUGGACAGCGACAUGUUCGUGACGCAUCUCACAUUCGAAUUUCGAGUGGCACACUGUGAAUCCAGAUAAGAGGAACUUGAAAAUAAAUUUCAGAAAUUACUGUUGCCAAAGUUGUAUUCUAAUUUUCCAUCAUUUCUUCCCAGAGUGUUAGAACUGUUCGAUUACAUAGCUGACGAACUGACGGGUAAAAAUAUGUACGCACUUUGUCAUGGACAGAAUGUACAGAGAUUAAGGAAAUGUCACAUUGACCAUGGUGAAUAAAAGGUUUUUCUUGAUUCAAAUCCAUUAUUUCUUUACACAAAAUUAUAUGUAUAAAGCUAUAAAGAAAUAGAUUUUUGUGUAUUAUCAAUUAAUUUGUAAUUGCAAUAAAAUAUA